Molecule: RNA transcript, 3732 nt
Organism: Apis dorsata (giant honeybee)
Lineage: Eukaryota; Metazoa; Arthropoda; Insecta; Hymenoptera; Apidae
Gene name: integrin beta-PS-like
Exons: 16
Source: RefSeq, a predicted model, not a curated record
CCUUUAAUUUCUUUGUUUAACGUUCACUUUCUGAUUAAAAUAUAAUCGUCAGAGAAAAUAGUUACCUAAUGACGCACACUUUUUAUCUGUGGUAUAUUUCCGUGGAAUACCACUAUAUCCUUUAAAGUGGCCAGCCACAUUUCGCUUUGUUUAAAACGAAAUUAAUAUUUAAAACAAUGACCAUCUGGACGAUAUUUUUUUUUUGUGUUCAACUUUUUUCAUUUAUAUUUUGCGAAUAUAAAGAUUCAGAAAUCCUUUGUGCAUCUCAACAAUCUUGCAAAAAUUGCUUGCAAACCCCGCGAUGUGUUUGGUGUUCUACUCCGGUCUCUAAUCAAAGUGUGAACAAUCCACUGGUUCGCUGUAUCACCAGAGAAAAAUUUUCAAACGAAGGUGAUCAUUGGUGUCGAACGUCGGACGUGGUAAUUGAGACGAAUAAGAUGUUGAUUCUCGAAAAUCGUCCACUGUCCUCAACGAAAGGCACGGAUCCUGUUCAAAUUCAACCUCAAAAAAUUGAUUUGAGACUCAGGCGAGGCGAGGAAUAUCGAUUGACUUUAAAAUACAGUCAAGCAGAGGAUUAUCCGGUCGAUUUGUAUUAUCUGAUGGAUUUAUCAAAGUCCAUGGAAGAUUACAGGGAUCAAUUAUCAAAAUUGGGAUUUCAAUUGGCCGAAGCUAUGCGAAACUUGACUUCAAAUUUUCGCCUAGGAUUUGGUAGUUUCGUGGAUAAAGUUGUACUACCUAUGACCAGUACGCAACCGGACAAAUUGAGAUCACCAUGUAACUUAGAUAAAACUAAGAAACCAUGCGCACCACCAUAUGGAUACAAGAAUCAGAUGCCUCUUACCGAAAACAUUGCUCUUUUUAAAACGCGCGUACAAGAAGCUCCGGUGUCUGGUAAUUUGGAUUCACCCGAGGGUGGACUUGACGCGAUGAUGCAAGCGAUGGUUUGCACCAAGGAAAUUGGCUGGCGGCAGAAUGCUCGGCAUUUUAUCGUUUUCUCAACAGACGCUAAUUUUCACAUCGCUGGAGAUGGCAGACUUGCGGGAAUCAUCGAGCCCAAUGAUUGUCUCUGCCAUUUGGACUCAGAAGGAUUCUACACGUACUCGCUUCUUCAAGAUUAUCCAUCUAUAUCUCAGAUCAACAAAGUAGCUCGUGAGAACAACAUGAACAUCAUAUUUGCGGUUACGAGCAAUCGAAACGAGACGUAUCAAUUAUUGAGUAAAAGUAUCAGAGGCUCUUCUAUCGGAACGAUAGAAAGGAAUUCUAAAAAUGUAGUUGCUCUUGUCAGUGGAGAAUACGAGAAAUUGGUGAACACCAUAAUAAUGACGGACGACGCGCCAAAAAUGAUCGAUGUGAAAUAUUUCUCACGAUGUUUGGAUAAAAAUGGUGAAUUAAAAGAACGACAAGAAUGCGGAGGAUUACGAGUGGGGAAUAUGGUGGAAUUUGAAGUAACGUUACAGGCGAUCGAAUGUCCAAAGGAUUCCAACGAAUGGCAGACAAGUAUGCACAUUAAACCCAGGGGUAUAAACGAAAGUCUGACGAUCAAUCUGAGCGUUGCAUGCGAUUGUCCUUGCGAACGGCCAGGACAUCCGGGAUACACGCCAGCUUCGGAAAAUUGCAGAGGGAACGGUACUCUGGUUUGCGGUAUAUGCUCUUGCGAUGAUGGCUUUUAUGGGAAGCAGUGCGAAUGCGAAGGAAACGAUGGCAGAGCGGAGAGUGCAGCUGCUAUGGCUGAUUGCAAGCCUAACAACGAGACCACUGAAAUUUGUAGCGAUCAUGGAGUUUGCAAGUGCGGUGUAUGCGAGUGCGUGAAACGUCCAAAUCCGCAAGAAGUUUUCUACGGGAAAUAUUGCGAAUGCGAUAAUUUCUCUUGCAAACGCAAAGAGGGAUUAGUUUGCGGCGGGCGAGGGAAGUGUGAAUGUGGUACUUGCAAUUGCUUCCCGGGAUGGGGUGGCGAGAUGUGCGAUUGCAAAGAAACGAAUAGCACAUGCAUCUCGAGCAACAGCGAAACUAUGGAGAUUUGUAGCGGACAUGGCGAUUGCAUUUGCGGUAGCUGUUAUUGUCAUGAAAAAGACAAUAUUCGAUAUUCCGGGCAGUAUUGCGAAGAGUGUCCCAUAUGUCCUGAUCAACGAUGCGAGCAAUUGAAGAAUUGCGUCGAAUGUGUGGUGCACAAAUCCGGUCCUCUUGCUAGAAGUGAAAAAUGUGACGAAUGCAUGCAUCAAAUAGAUAUUGUAGAUAAGAUCGUAGAAGAUUCAGGAAAAGAUCAAGGAAACGGAGCUCGUAUUUGUCGAACUCCUGGGGAUGGUGGAUGCACGUUUGUGUUCAAAUACGAAUAUUACAGAGACGGUACUGGAGGAGAUAUUAAGAUAUUCAAGAUCCUAGCUGAAAGAGAGAAGUCAUGUCCUGUACCUAUUAACGUUCUUGGUGUUGCUGUGGGAUUAAUAAUUAGUACUGUAAUUAUCGGUUUUAUGAUUCUUCUUACUUGGAAGAUAUUAACAAUGAUUCGCGAUAAUCGCGAAUUUAAAAAAUUCGAGCGUGAACGAAUUUUGGCUAAUAAAUGGAAUAGGAGGGAUAAUCCGCUUUAUAAGGAAGCUACAUCUACAUUCAAGAAUCCGACAUUCAACAUGAAUACGAUCAGAUAAAAUUUAUUUUCAUAAAACGAGCGCGCGAAAUAUUUCCAUGGAAAUAAGCCUAUUUUAUUAAAUGGUAGACGCUCCGAUAGGUAGCGCCACCAUAUUCAAAUUGAGAGUGACGACGCCAUGUUGGUUAAAUUUGUGAGAAGCUUUGUGAGAAGACAGUUUCUAGUCGAAGAGAUAAAACAUUUAUUCUUUCAAUCUUCUGGAAAACAACCUCUGUCUACUUUUAUUCCUGCAUUCCUUUCUUUUCGAGAGCAGUUUCACGAUCGAUACCAAGGAUCGUUUGGAUACAUUGAAAGCAUCGAUCGGAUACAUUGAAUCCUGACUGUAUAUAAUCUCAAGAUCAUUUUGGAGGAAAAAAAGUUGAAAGGAGCAUUUUAGUUGAAAGAAGCAGAAGGAUUUUAACGCUCGAUGAUCCGAUUUAAUGGGAAAAUGAGAAUCGUCGAAUCCUUUCCGCCGAUUUAAUAUCCUGUUGUAAAGUAUUUUUUAAACUCGUUGGCAACGUAUUGGCACGUUUCGAUCUUACGAUUAGCGCGAUCCUAACGACUCUGCUAACUAAUAAACGAGAUAGCGAACUGUUUCGUAUCGAUUAUAUCGAGGAUAUCGGUUCGAAUCUUAUGGAAUCUGGUGCGCUCUUAGAGGCUGUAUAACUCGUAUAUACAACCGGAUAAUUAAUGGAGCCGGUAAUGAGCUGAUUAUUAUUAAUAAUAUUUAGUCGAGGUUAAGCCGAGGCGACCCCGCCGUGCUGGAGCCCGGCUGCUCGUUAAUUGAAUCUGCCAAUCAUCGUAAUGAGCGUCAGCGCCGGAUCUGCUGUCCGUUCUUCGUUGUUGCUCUUUAGGGCCUGAAAGCUUGAUGCUCGUUGCUUUCGAAAAACGAAAUACGCGUGUUGCACUCUGCAACCCUAUCCUAAGAAAUGUGAGCAAUUUUCUUCACCGACCGCCUUUCGAGAACUUGAUCGAUAUCGCGAACCCUGUCUAGAACCUUCUUGUAAUUGUUGUUAUUCGUUUACAUUAAUUACACGCGCGUCAACCAAACUUUUACUUAACGUGGAUCGAACCAUCGAAUUGUUUAUAGAUAAAUACAAAUAAUUGCGAAUCAA